RNAcentral lists this ribosomal RNA (468 nucleotides) under uncultured bacterium. Its description in RNAcentral is "partial 16S ribosomal RNA". It matches the Rfam family "Bacterial small subunit ribosomal RNA", at positions 28 to 507 of the family's 1533-position model. The record is from RNAcentral.
GACGAACGCUGGCGGCGUGCUUAACACAUGCAAGUCGAACGGAAAGGCCCUGCUUUUGUGGGGUGCUCGAGUGGCGAACGGGUGAGUAACACGUGAGUAACCUGCCCUUGACUUUGGGAUAACUUCAGGAAACUGGGGCUAAUACCGGAUAGGAGCUCCUGCUGCAUGGUGGGGGUUGGAAAGUUUCGGCGGUUGGGGAUGGACGCGCGGCUUAUCAGCUUGUUGGUGGGGUAGUGGCUUACCAAGGCUUUGACGGGUAGCCGGCCUGAGAGGGUGACCGGCCACAUUGGGACUGAGAUACGGCCCAGACUCCUACUGGAGGCAGCAGUGGGGAAUAUUGCACAAUGGGCGGAAGCCUGAUGCAGCAACGCCGCGUGCGGGAUGACGGCCUUCGGGUUGUAAACCGCUUUCGCCUGUGACGAAGCGUGAGUGACGGUAAUGGGUAAAGAAGCACCGGCUAACUACGUG